RNAcentral lists this ribosomal RNA (500 nucleotides) under uncultured bacterium. RNAcentral describes it as "partial 16S ribosomal RNA". It matches the Rfam family "Bacterial small subunit ribosomal RNA", at positions 30 to 523 of the family's 1533-position model. The record is from RNAcentral.
AUUGAACGCUGGCGGCAUGCCUUACACAUGCAAGUCGAACGGCAGCACGGGAGCAAUCCUGGUGGCGAGUGGCGAACGGGUGAGUAAUAUAUCGGAACGUGCCCAGUCGUGGGGGAUAACGUAGCGAAAGCUACGCUAAUACCGCAUACGAUCUAUGGAUGAAAGCAGGGGAUCGCAAGACCUCGCGCGAUUGGAGCGGCCGAUAUCAGAUUAGGUAGUUGGUGAGGUAAAGGCGCACCAAGCCGACGAUCUGUAGCUGGUCUGAGAGGACGACCAGCCACACUGGGACUGAGACACGGCCCAGACUCCUACGGGAGGCAGCAGUGGGGAAUUUUGGACAAUGGGCGCAAGCCUGAUCCAGCAAUGCCGCGUGCAGGAUGAAGGCCUUCGGGUUGUAAACUGCUUUUGUACGGAACGAAACGGUGAGCUCUAAUACAGUUUGCUAAUGACGGUACCGUAAGAAUAAGCACCGGCUAACUACGUGCCAGCCGCCGCGGUAA